This 65-nucleotide transfer RNA is filed under the name Dipodomys ordii (Ord's kangaroo rat). It matches the Rfam family "tRNA". From Rfam's summary of the family: Transfer RNA (tRNA) molecules are approximately 80 nucleotides in length. The record is from Rfam by way of RNAcentral. Lineage: Eukaryota; Metazoa; Chordata; Mammalia; Rodentia; Heteromyidae.
GGUGGCUCAGUGGUUGAGUGCUUGCCUUUUAUGCAUGAGGUCCUGGGUUUGAUUCCUCAGCACCA